This 385-nucleotide ribosomal RNA is filed under the name uncultured bacterium. Its description in RNAcentral is "bacterial SSU rRNA". It matches the Rfam family "Bacterial small subunit ribosomal RNA", at positions 30 to 417 of the family's 1533-position model. The record is from RNAcentral.
AUUGAACGCUGGCGGCAUGCCUUACACAUGCAAGUCGAACGGCAGCACGGGGCAACCUGGUGGCGAGUGGCGAACGGGUGAGUAAUGCAUCGGAACGUGCCAUUGAGUGGGGGAUAACGUAGCGAAAGUUGCGCUAAUACCGCAUAUUCUGUGAGCAGGAAAGCAGGGGACCGCAAGGCCUUGCGCUCUUUGAGCGGCCGAUGUCAGAUUAGCUAGUUGGUGAGGUAACGGCUUACCAAGGCGACGAUCUGUAGCGAGUCUGAGAGGAUGAUCCGCCACACUGGAACUGAGACACGGUCCAGACUCCUACGGGAGGCAGCAGUGGGGAAUUUUGGACAAUGGGCGCAAGCCUGAUCCAGCCAUGCCGCGUGAGUGAAGAAGGCCU